GAACGGGUGAGUAACACGUGGGCAAUCUGCCCUUCACUCUGGGACAAGCCCUGGAAACGGGGUCUAAUACCGGAUAUCACUUCCGCAGGCAUCUGCGGAGGUCGAAAGCUCCGGCGGUGAAGGAUGAGCCCGCGGCCUAUCAGCUUGUUGGUGAGGUAACGGCUCACCAAGGCGACGACGGGUAGCCGGCCUGAGAGGGCGACCGGCCACACUGGGACUGAGACACGGCCCAGACUCCUACGGGAGGCAGCAGUGGGGAAUAUUGCACAAUGGGCGAAAGCCUGAUGCAGCGACGCCGCGUGAGGGAUGACGGCCUUCGGGUUGUAAACCUCUUUCAGCAGGGAAGAAGCGAAAGUGACGGUACCUGCAGAAGAAGCGCCGGCUAACUACGUGCCAGCAGCCGCGGUAAUACGUAGGGCGCAAGCGUUGUCCGGAAUUAUUGGGCGUAAAGAGCUCGUAGGCGGCUUGUCACGUCGGGUGUGAAAGCCCGGGGCUUAACCCCGGGUCUGCAUUCGAUACGGGCUAGCUAGAGUGUGGUAGGGGAGAUCGGAAUUCCUGGUGUAGCGGUGAAAUGCGCAGAUAUCAGGAGGAACACCGGUGGCGAAGGCGGAUCUCUGGGCCAUUACUGACGCUGAGGAGCGAAAGCGUGGGGAGCGAACAGGAUUAGAUACCCUGGUAG
Molecule: ribosomal RNA, 679 nt
Filed under: Streptomyces sp. I12A-02013
Lineage: Bacteria; Bacillati; Actinomycetota; Actinomycetes; Kitasatosporales; Streptomycetaceae
Description: bacterial SSU rRNA
Rfam family: Bacterial small subunit ribosomal RNA
Source: RNAcentral